UACGUAGGGCGCAAGCGUUGUCCGGAAUUAUUGGGCGUAAAGAGCUCGUAGGCGGUUUGUCGCGUCUGCUGUGAAAACCUGAGGCUCAACCUCGGGCUUGCAGUGGGUACGGGCAGACUAGAGUGCGGUAGGGGUGACUGGAAUUCCUGGUGUAGCGGUGGAAUGCGCAGAUAUCAGGAGGUACACCGAUGGCGAAGGCAGGUCACUGGGCCGCAACUGACGCUGAGGAGCGAAAGCAUGGGGAGCGAACAGG
Molecule: ribosomal RNA, 253 nt
Filed under: uncultured bacterium
Lineage: Bacteria
Description: partial 16S ribosomal RNA
Rfam family: Bacterial small subunit ribosomal RNA
Source: RNAcentral